This 258-nucleotide unclassified non-coding RNA is filed under the name Ascomycota sp. Its description in RNAcentral is "partial contains small subunit ribosomal RNA, internal transcribed spacer 1, and 5.8S ribosomal RNA". The stretch from base 1 to 47 matches the Rfam family "Eukaryotic small subunit ribosomal RNA", at positions 1785 to 1831 of the family's 1831-position model. Lineage: Eukaryota; Fungi; Ascomycota. The record is from RNAcentral.
AAAGUCGUAACAAGGUUUCCGUAGGUGAACCUGCGGAAGGAUCAUUACACGUAUUACGGGGGGGCAAGAAUGAGGGAGCAUGUAACCCAUGCGCUCUGUUCAAGCCCUUCUGAAUAUUCUACCCAUGUUUUUUGCGCACUAUUUGUUUCCUUGGUGGGCUUGCUCGCCAAUAGGACACCAUAAAACCUUUUGUAAUUGCAGUCAGCGUCAGAAAUAACUUAAUAGUUACAACUUUCAACAACGGAUCUCUUGGUUCUG